Long non-coding RNA from Gasterosteus aculeatus aculeatus (three-spined stickleback), 3697 nucleotides. The record is from Ensembl. Lineage: Eukaryota; Metazoa; Chordata; Actinopteri; Perciformes; Gasterosteidae.
UUCCAACACAUCACACGUCAUGUGUGAUGAAUACGUGUUGUGACGGCCCCAGGGCCCUCUACACGCUGUGUCUGUCUGGCAGGUCCCUGGGUGGCUGGGGGCCGUUAGGAGACGCCCAACCUGAAGACAAACGGGGACGUGGUGGUUUAUGUCGUUUGUUCCUUCUUGGUUUCUAUUUAUGGAAUGAAACUUUUUGUUUUAAUACUGGCUGUAAUCAUUGGGGAGCAAGACCGUAACAACGUGAACAUUUACACGUCUGACUACUGCAUGAAAGUAGUAAGACUUCCCGGGUCAGGCCAAGACCAGCGCACGGCUGGUUCACCCACUGGUUAACAACAUUUUAACUUUCACAAUUGAAACAGUAUUUGGCUUGAAAGGUAAGCAGCUAGCUAUGACUGUUUCACUUGCUGUUAGAACGCCCUGACGUUCUCUCCUUGUUGAGCAGCACUACUUUAGGAAAGACGGCGUAGGACCAGAGGAUCACCUUCCUCCUGGACCCGGCUGGGACGCUGAGGACAAUACGUGCUUUCAUUUCAACUCUUUCAGUGGCAGAAAUGUCUUCCACAGCGUCCUCCUGUGGUUAAUAUUAAGUUUAUACUAAACAACCAGGUUCAGUGAUGGUUCAGGGUCAUAACUUGUCUACCUGAACGAGUCCGUAAAACGAUCCGGUCUUCCCGUUAAUAAUUCUCCAUUCUUUCUCUAUCAGCCCUUCAGUCCAUUUAGUCGCUUCUGAUGUGAUUUGUUAGUCUAUUUUUCACAUCGUCCCCAUUACAGACCUCCUUGUAGUCAGUCUCCUUCCCGCCAGUGAAAUGUCCUGCAAAUAACCGUGUGACAAAGUGGGAGACAACUCACCUUUGUGAGUGAGUGUGUGUUGGUGUGUGUGUUGGAUGCUUGCCUUGCUCGGCAGGUGUGCUGGAGGCUAGAGGGGAGGGGCAGGCCGUGAUGUCAGCAGUGACAUCAGCGGGUUGGACCAGGUAUACGGGGGGGAGGGGGGGGUCGUAAUGGGUGUCACCUGUGCACAUGGUGCAACCCGGGCCGGGUUGAUGAAGGUGCAGGACAUUGACUGUUGGGGGGAAAAUGGUGGAACAUGUGUGUAGCUGAGGGCGCGUGUCAGAUGAGCUUAUGUUGAGAUUAUUCAGUUAAUGAAUUAGGUUUUGUUUUGUUGUUUGUGUUUAUGAGACGCGUAUCAGGGACCUUCCUUUUUUUUUGUCUCGUUGCCGGCCUCCUAAUUCCAGGAUUCUCUCGGCCGUGGCAUCCUCGCAAACUACAAGCGACUAAGGGCCAAAGGGGCAGAGGUCAAUAUCUGCUUCCUACACAAGCCUUAGCCUGACGGCUAAAAAAAGGAAUCAUGCUACCUGACAUCUUAGCAGGUAACAUGUCCGUGUUCAUCAUGUGUUGGUGUGGGAUGAAGCGUGUCAGUGACUCUGGACCAACGUGGUCGAGCGUCUUAUAUUUCAUAGUGGCUGUUUAGGGGGGAAAGGAAAGAGCACAAGACAAACGAUGUCUGUGACCUCGUCAGGGAAGGGAAAUAGAUCUGAAAUGGGUGUCGAUAAAUAGGGUGUCGCGUGCGGCUGACGCCAACUAGCUCCACGUAUGACUCACGUCUGCCUAUGUGGCCUUUGCAUAGAGGUCACUGCAGUGGACAGAUAUUCAACUGUUGUUUUCUUGUAUUUCAUGGGUUAUGAUGUCACACAUCAGCCACCACAGUGGAGGCCAUUGCAUCGUCCCACACGCUGCCCCCCAGUGGCAGGCAGUUGUAAGAGCAAGAUACAUUUCUCCAAACCGAGAUGGCUGACAGUCAGUCAGUCAGUCAUCGAUAUUUUGCCAAUCCUUCUAUACAAAGAGACCCUUGGAGGUAUACACGUGUUGGUGACAUCAAGUAACAUCUAAGGAAUUCAUAAAUGUUUCAAGUAUAGAAUUCAUAUUGGGAGGAAAAUAUGACUAAUUAUCUGUCCACUAAAUUCACUAAUGUCAUUCAAGUGGACAUGUUAAAUUAUCUUGAAAAAAUUUGAUUAAAAAAAAAAGUUCAAAUCUUGACGAAUAAAACACUUGGUAAAUCUUAAUUCAUGCAUGAAAAGGAUAUGGUGACGGGUUCCAAUAUCAAGCUAACGAUUGAUGACGCUAGCAUGCUGUCUAGGGUAGUGCUAGGCUAGGCUAAUGUUUAGUCAGUCUAGUAGCUUGCUGUCUAGGGUAGUGCUAGGCUAAUGUUUAGUCAGUCUAGUAGCUUGCGGUCUAGGGUAGUGCUAGGCUAAUGUUUAGUCAGUCUAGUAGCUUGCGGUCUAGGGUAAUGCUAGGCUAGGCUAAUGUUUAGUCAGUCUAGUAGCUUGCUGUCUAGGUAGUGCUAAGCUAGGCUAAUGUUUAGUCAGUCUAGUAGCUUGCUGUCUAGGGUAGUGCUAGGCUAGGCUAAUGUUUAGUCAGUCUAGUAACUUGCUGUCUAGGGUAGUGCUAGGCUAGGCUAAUGUUUAGUCAGUCUAGUAACUUGCUGUCUAGGGUAAUGCUAGGCUAGGCUAAUGUUUAGUCAGUCUAGUAGCUUGCGGUCUAGGGUAAUGCUAGGCUAAGGUUUAGUCAGUGUAGUAGCUUGGCGUAGAAAGAGGGACAUUGGGAGCUUAUAUGUUUGUACUUAGCUUAUCAAGAGAGAGAAAGAGUAAUGCUGUAUCUUCUCCAUGUGGAUUUAAUAAUGCUAUAUUAAUUACUGACUGCAGAUAAUAUAGUUAGCCAGGCUAUGACAGUAGUAUGUCCACAUUGUCUUAUUCUGUUCAACAAUUUAUAUCAGGGGUUGUAUUGAUAAUGAAUCUUACUACGAGGACGUGGUGGACGUAUAGUCACACUGCUUUUAAAUGUGAUUGUCUUUGUGCCUUUUGUAUGUUCAUGCUGGUGUUGUACGCCACCUCCACCUCCUCAUCACUGGCCAGUCUGUGCACAUUCAUCCUCCUCUUCUGUCUGUGGCUUUCAUAUAUUGAGUGAAUUAAUAAUGAGUGCUCGACCAUGCUUUAAUGUCAGCUUUCACUCUUCGUUCCUCAUUCUCUGUUUAUUCUGCUUUUGGGAGGGUUUUUUACCGCCUGCCUGAGUACACGUUCCUCCCAUUUCAAAAACUAUUUUUUAAAGCAUUUCUGAAUGGAAAUGAAUGACCAAUUUUAAUGGUUUCCUUCAAACACUUUGACCAGAUGUACAGUUAUUGCAACAUAUAAAAUAAAGUACACCACAAUUUGAACAUGUUUUUUAAUAGUCUUUAUUUAUGCCUUCAUCUCUUACACAAGACAUUUCCUAUCAAGACACUAUUAUAUUACCCACAAACCAUGAACGACGCUUCGGUAGUCUUGGCCAUGCAUGGACACGGUUACCAUCCAUCGGCCAGCGAGUUGACCGUGUCACCAACCCACCGACAGCAAUGAAUGUGAACUGGGAACCUGCUGUUUCACGUGGAGUCGUCCCAGCGAGGAGCCAUCCGUGAUGCUGUGGGUAGAUCCGUGGAAGCAGCCGAUGAGGCGUACAUCAUGUGUCCCAACCCUUCAGAGCACCGGUCUAAGUGGUCUGAGGUGGUCCGACCCCGGUGGUCUACCAAGGGCUGUUGCUACUGAACAAGUGAACGAGCUGCUUUCCUUCCGAUCCCUUUUUGAAUGACAGUUGGUUGUGUUUCAUUUCCCACAAUGCAGCUGUGCCAGAGAGAGACCCCUUCCACCCAACGUCACAUUGCAUA